CGCGACCCCAGGUCAGGCGGGGUUACCCGNUGAAUUUAA
RNAcentral lists this ribosomal RNA (39 nucleotides) under Polylepis sericea. RNAcentral describes it as "partial 26S ribosomal RNA". Lineage: Eukaryota; Viridiplantae; Streptophyta; Magnoliopsida; Rosales; Rosaceae. The record is from RNAcentral.